GAGGGUAUAGCUCAAGUGGUAGAGCACAUGCUUAGUAGGCAUGAGGUCCCAGGUUCAAGCCCCAGGACCUAUA
Molecule: transfer RNA, 73 nt
Filed under: Camelus bactrianus (Bactrian camel)
Lineage: Eukaryota; Metazoa; Chordata; Mammalia; Artiodactyla; Camelidae
Also listed under: 2 other names
Rfam family: tRNA
About the family: Transfer RNA (tRNA) molecules are approximately 80 nucleotides in length. Their secondary structure includes four short double-helical elements and three loops (D, anti-codon, and T loops). Further hydrogen bonds mediate the characteristic L-shaped molecular structure. tRNAs have two regions of fundamental functional importance: the anti-codon, which is responsible for specific mRNA codon recognition, and the 3' end, to which the tRNAs corresponding amino acid is attached (by aminoacyl-tRNA synthetases). tRNAs cope with the degeneracy of the genetic code in two manners: having more than one tRNA (with a specific anti-codon) for a particular amino acid; and 'wobble' base-pairing, i.e. permitting non-standard base-pairing at the 3rd anti-codon position.
Source: Rfam by way of RNAcentral